This 494-nucleotide ribosomal RNA is filed under the name uncultured bacterium. Its description in RNAcentral is "partial 16S ribosomal RNA". It matches the Rfam family "Bacterial small subunit ribosomal RNA", at positions 28 to 507 of the family's 1533-position model. The record is from RNAcentral.
GACGAACGCUGGCGGCGUGCUUAACACAUGCAAGUCGAACGGAAAGGCCUGCUUUCCCUUGUGGAUUGCGGGUACUCGAGUGGCGAACGGGUGAGUAACACGUGAGUGAUCUGCCCCCAACUUGGGUAUAAGCCUGGGAAACUGGGUCUAAUUCCCGAUAGGACUGCAGGGUGGUGCCCGUGGUGGAAAACGAUUUUCUAGUGGUUGGGGAUGAGCUCGCGGCCUAUCAGCUUGUUGGUGGGGUAAUGGCCUACCAAGGCGGCGACGGGUAGCCGGCCUGAGAGGGUGGACGGCCACAUUGGGACUGGGAUACGGCCCAGACUCCUACGGGAGGCAGCAGUGGGGAAUAUUGCACAAUGGGCGGAAGCCUGAUGCAGCGACGCCGCGUGGGGGAUGACGGCCUUCGGGUUGUAAACUCCUUUCGACCGCGAGGAAGCCACCUGGUUGGAAGGGUGGUGACGGUAGUGGUAGAAGAAGCACCGGCUAACUACGUG